AGCGAACGCUGGCGGCAGGCCUAACACAUGCAAGUCGAACGAACCUUUCGGGGUUAGUGGCGGACGGGUGAGUAACACGUGGGAACGUGCCUUUAGGUUCGGAAUAACUCAGGGAAACUUGUGCUAAUACCGAAUGUGCCCUUCGGGGGAAAGAUUAAUCGCCUUUGGAGCGGCCCGCGUCUGAUUAGCUAGUUGGUUGAGGUAAUGGCUCACCAAGGCGACGAUCAGUAGCUGGUCUGAGAGGAUGAUCAGCCACAUUGGGACUGAGACACGGCCCAAACUCCUACGGGAGGCAGCAGUGGGGAAUCUUGCGCAAUGGGCGAAAGCCUGACGCAGCCAUGCCGCGUGAAUGAUGAAGGUCUUAGGAUUGUAAAAUUCUUUCACCGGGGACGAUAAUGACGGUACCCGGAGAAGAAGCCCCGGCUAACUUCGUG
This 434-nucleotide ribosomal RNA is filed under the name uncultured bacterium. RNAcentral's name for it is "partial 16S ribosomal RNA". It matches the Rfam family "Bacterial small subunit ribosomal RNA", at positions 29 to 507 of the family's 1533-position model. The record is from RNAcentral.